CUGAGACCUGAUGCCGAGCCGAUUGUGGUGAAGUGGAUGAUCCUAUGCUGUCGAGAAAAGCCUCUAGCGAGUUUCAUGGCGGCCCGUACCCUAAACCGACUCAGGUGGUCAGGUAGAGAAUACCGAGGCGUUCGGGUGAACUAUGGUUAAGGAACUCGGCAAAAUGCCCCCCGUAACUUCGGGAGAAGGGGGGGCCAGUCCUGGUGAUGAGCUUCGCGCUCUGAGCUGGGGGGUGGCCGCAGAGACCAGCGAGAAGCGACUGUUUACUAAAAAACACAGGUCCGUGCGAAGCCGUAAGGCGAUGUAUACGGACUGACGCCUGCCCGGUGCUGGAACGUUAAGGGGACCGGUUAGCUCAGAUUCGUCUGGGCGAAGCUGAGAACUUAAGCGCCAGUAAACGGCGGUGGUAACUAUAACCAUCCUAAGGUAGCGAAAUUCCUUGUCGGGUAAGUUCCGACCUGCACGAAUGGCGUAACGACUUCUCGACUGUCUCAACCAUAGGCCCGGUGAAAUUGCACUACGAGUAAAGAUGCUCGUUUCGCGCAGCAGGACGGAAAGACCCCGGGACCUUUACUACAGUUUGAUAUUGGUGUUCGGUUCGGCUUGUGUAGGAUAGCUGGGAGACUGUGAAGCCUGGACGCCAGUUCGGGUGGAGUCGUCGUUGAAAUACCAGUCUGGUCGUGCUGGAUGUCUAACCUGGGUCCGUGAUCCGGAUCAGGGACAGUGUCUGAUGGGUAGUUUAACUGGGGGGCGGUUGCCUCCUAAAGGGUAACGGAGGCGCCCAAAGGUUCCCUCAGCCUGGUUGGCAAUCAGGUGUUGAGUGUAAGUGCACAAGGGAGCUUGACUGUGAGACCGACGGGUCGAGCAGGGACGAAAGUCGGGACUAGUGAUCCGGCGGUGGCUUGUGGAAGCGCCGUCGCUCAACGGAUAAAAGGUACCCCGGGGAUAACAGGCUGAUCUUCCCCCCAAGAGUCCAUAUCGACGGGAUGGUUUGGCACCUCGAUGUCGGCUCGUCGCAUCCUGGGGGGGCUGGAGUCGGUCCCAAGGGUUGGGCUGUUCGCCCAUUAAAGCGGUACGCGAGCUGGGUUUAGAACGUCGUGAGACAGUUCGGUCCCUAUCCGCUGUGCGCGUAGGAGUCUUGAGAAGGGCUGUCCCUAGUACGAGAGGACCGGGACGGACGAACCUCUGGUGUGCCAGUUGUUCUGCCAAGGGCAUGGCUGGUUGGCUACGUUCGGGAGGGAUAACCGCUGAAAGCAUCUAAGCGGGAAGCCUGCUUCGAGAUGAGGCUCCCACCCACUUGAUGGGGGUAAGGCUCCCAGUAGACGACUGGGUUGAUAGGCCGGAUCUGGAAGCACGGUAACGUGUGGAGGUGACCGGUACUAAUAGGCCGAGGGCUUGUCCUC
This 1403-nucleotide ribosomal RNA is filed under the name Streptomyces mexicanus JCM 12681. RNAcentral's name for it is "bacterial LSU rRNA". It matches the Rfam family "Bacterial large subunit ribosomal RNA", at positions 1556 to 2925 of the family's 2925-position model. Lineage: Bacteria; Bacillati; Actinomycetota; Actinomycetes; Kitasatosporales; Streptomycetaceae. The record is from RNAcentral.